AUACGGAGGGUGCAAGCGUUACUCGGAAUCACCGGGCGUAAAGCGCGCGCAGGCGGUCUGUUAAGUUGGAUGUGAAAGCCUACGGCUCAACCGUAGAACUGCAUCCAAAACUAUUAGACUAGAGUGUGGGAGAGGAAGAUGGAAUUAGUUGUGUAGGGGUAAAAUCCGUAGAGAUAACUAGGAAUACCAAAAGCGAAGGCGAUCUUCUGGAACAGUACUGACGCUGAGGCGCGAAAGCGUGGGGAGCAAACAGGAUUAGAAACCCUAGUAGUCC
RNAcentral lists this ribosomal RNA (274 nucleotides) under uncultured bacterium. Its description in RNAcentral is "partial 16S ribosomal RNA". It matches the Rfam family "Bacterial small subunit ribosomal RNA", at positions 523 to 796 of the family's 1533-position model. The record is from RNAcentral.